RNAcentral lists this ribosomal RNA (1143 nucleotides) under Staphylococcus aureus. RNAcentral describes it as "bacterial SSU rRNA". It matches the Rfam family "Bacterial small subunit ribosomal RNA", at positions 192 to 1322 of the family's 1533-position model. Lineage: Bacteria; Bacillati; Bacillota; Bacilli; Caryophanales; Staphylococcaceae. The record is from RNAcentral.
GUUCAAAAGUGAAAGACGGUCUUGCUGUCACUUAUAGAUGGAUCCGCGCUGCAUUAGCUAGUUGGUAAGGUAACGGCUUACCAAGGCAACGAUGCAUAGCCGACCUGAGAGGGUGAUCGGCCACACUGGAACUGAGACACGGUCCAGACUCCUACGGGAGGCAGCAGUAGGGAAUCUUCCGCAAUGGGCGAAAGCCUGACGGAGCAACGCCGCGUGAGUGAUGAAGGUCUUCGGAUCGUAAAACUCUGUUAUUAGGGAAGAACAUAUGUGUAAGUAACUGUGCACAUCUUGACGGUACCUAAUCAGAAAGCCACGGCUAACUACGUGCCAGCAGCCGCGGUAAUACGUAGGUGGCAAGCGUUAUCCGGAAUUAUUGGGCGUAAAGCGCGCGUAGGCGGUUUUUUAAGUCUGAUGUGAAAGCCCACGGCUCAACCGUGGAGGGUCAUUGGAAACUGGAAAACUUGAGUGCAGAAGAGGAAAGUGGAAUUCCAUGUGUAGCGGUGAAAUGCGCAGAGAUAUGGAGGAACACCAGUGGCGAAGGCGACUUUCUGGUCUGUAACUGACGCUGAUGUGCGAAAGCGUGGGGAUCAAACAGGAUUAGAUACCCUGGUAGUCCACGCCGUAAACGAUGAGUGCUAAGUGUUAGGGGGUUUCCGCCCCUUAGUGCUGCAGCUAACGCAUUAAGCACUCCGCCUGGGGAGUACGACCGCAAGGUUGAAACUCAAAGGAAUUGACGGGGACCCGCACAAGCGGUGGAGCAUGUGGUUUAAUUCGAAGCAACGCGAAGAACCUUACCAAAUCUUGACAUCCUUUGACAACUCUAGAGAUAGAGCCUUCCCCUUCGGGGGACAAAGUGACAGGUGGUGCAUGGUUGUCGUCAGCUCGUGUCGUGAGAUGUUGGGUUAAGUCCCGCAACGAGCGCAACCCUUAAGCUUAGUUGCCAUCAUUAAGUUGGGCACUCUAAGUUGACUGCCGGUGACAAACCGGAGGAAGGUGGGGAUGACGUCAAAUCAUCAUGCCCCUUAUGAUUUGGGCUACACACGUGCUACAAUGGACAAUACAAAGGGCAGCGAAACCGCGAGGUCAAGCAAAUCCCAUAAAGUUGUUCUCAGUUCGGAUUGUAGUCUGCAACUCGACUACAUG